This 403-nucleotide small RNA is filed under the name Histoplasma ohiense. RNAcentral's name for it is "hypothetical lncRNA". The record is from RNAcentral. Lineage: Eukaryota; Fungi; Ascomycota; Eurotiomycetes; Onygenales; Ajellomycetaceae.
AUAAUACAGGAAUAGCCUUUGUUCGAUGAACUCCGCAACAGCCAAUAAUGGGCUGGCUGAGCGCCCAUGCCGCCAUGCGGGUUGAAUUGUUCCACUGGAGGACCGCAAGCAUGCAUCCGAACAUCCUCGAGGCCUGAUGCACCGAUAUCACAUCACCAUGCUUUUGCUACCAUGAGCAACUGACACACAAGGGAAGUGGCACGUUUCUCUGGAGUUUCCCCGGUCGAAUCACCCUUCAGCAGCUCAUCGAAGGCGUUUUUGAAUUACACCUUGGCAUAGUUAAUGCCCUGCGGUCAAUGUCAUGCUUCAUAGUCAGGGUUUUGAACGGCAAAGGGAUCGUCGUUAGGCAGACACUAGCUUCGUUGUUCACUGUACGGAAUUGGCGAACGAUAAUACACGGGCA